RNAcentral lists this ribosomal RNA (593 nucleotides) under uncultured Rhodobacter sp. RNAcentral's name for it is "bacterial SSU rRNA". It matches the Rfam family "Bacterial small subunit ribosomal RNA", at positions 61 to 702 of the family's 1533-position model. The record is from RNAcentral. Lineage: Bacteria; Pseudomonadati; Pseudomonadota; Alphaproteobacteria; Rhodobacterales.
GUCGAGCGCCCCGCAAGGGGAGCGGCAGACGGGUGAGUAACGCGUGGGAACGUACCUUUUGCUACGGAAUAACUCAGGGAAACUUGUGCUAAUACCGUAUGUGCCCUUCGGGGGAAAGAUUUAUCGGCAAAGGAUCGGCCCGCGUUGGAUUAGCUAGUUGGUGAGGUAAAGGCUCACCAAGGCGACGAUCCAUAGCUGGUCUGAGAGGAUGAUCAGCCACACUGGGACUGAGACACGGCCCAGACUCCUACGGGAGGCAGCAGUGGGGAAUAUUGGACAAUGGGCGCAAGCCUGAUCCAGCCAUGCCGCGUGAGUGAUGAAGGCCCUAGGGUUGUAAAGCUCUUUCACCGGUGAAGAUAAUGACGGUAACCGGAGAAGAAGCCCCGGCUAACUUCGUGCCAGCAGCCGCGGUAAUACGAAGGGGGCUAGCGUUGUUCGGAUUUACUGGGCGUAAAGCGCACGUAGGCGGACUUUUAAGUCAGGGGUGAAAUCCCGGGGCUCAACCCCGGAACUGCCUUUGAUACUGGAAGUCUUGAGUAUGGUAGAGGUGAGUGGAAUUCCGAGUGUAGAGGUGAAAUUCGUAGAUAUUCGGA